This 390-nucleotide ribosomal RNA is filed under the name Microbacterium sp. LL100. RNAcentral describes it as "bacterial SSU rRNA". It matches the Rfam family "Bacterial small subunit ribosomal RNA", at positions 68 to 455 of the family's 1533-position model. Lineage: Bacteria; Bacillati; Actinomycetota; Actinomycetes; Micrococcales; Microbacteriaceae. The record is from RNAcentral.
GGUGAAGCAGAGCUUGCUCGGUGGAUCAGUGGCGAACGGGUGAGUAACACGUGAGCAACCUGCCCCUGACUCUGGGAUAAGCGCUGGAAACGGCGUCUAAUACCGGAUAUGAGCUGCGAUCGCAUGGUCGGCAGUUGGAAAGAUUUUUCGGUCUGGGAUGGGCUCACGGCCUAUCAGCUUGUUGGUGAGGUAAUGGCUCACCAAGGCGUCGACGGGUAGCCGGCCUGAGAGGGUGACCGGCCACACUGGGACUGAGACACGGCCCAGACUCCUACGGGAGGCAGCAGUGGGGAAAUUUUGCACAAUGGGCGGAAGCCUGAUGCAGCAACGCCGCGUGAGGGAUGACGGCCUUCGGGUUGUAAACCUCCUUUUAGCAGGGAAGAAGCGAAA